Long non-coding RNA from Sceloporus undulatus (fence lizard), 394 nucleotides. RefSeq lists it as uncharacterized. The transcript is spliced from 2 exons. The record is from RefSeq and is a predicted model, not a curated record. Lineage: Eukaryota; Metazoa; Chordata; Lepidosauria; Squamata; Phrynosomatidae.
CAGGGAUUGUGCAUGAAGUCAACUGAUGCCAUCACUGCAAAGAGGGCUGAAAACUGACAGCAAAAGGUGCCAGUAGAGAUAUCCCAUAUUUGGUAGCUGUUCUCCAAGGAGAAGGGGCAUGCACAUGACAAGAGCUUUGAAAAGUUACUUUUAAAACAACAACUAGACCACAUGCUGGCUGAGGGAUUCUCAGAGUUGUAAUCCACAAUGGAUCUUUUCCUAACUCUGCAACUGAUGUUAUGUGUCUAUUUGUGUGUGUUUGUCCGUGCAAAGGAACUAGAAUGUACUAUUAAAACAGGAUUGUCCUCUGUGUGCUCAAAAUCAUGUUCUGUUCAAGCUGGCUUUAGCUACCUCCAAAAUUUUGUCUUUAAAAAAUAAAGUACACGAACAAUUG